GGGGUUAUAGCUCAUCUGGGAGAGCGCGUGCCUUGCACGCAGGAGGUCUACGGUUGGAUCCCGCAUAGCUCCG
This 73-nucleotide transfer RNA is filed under the name Photobacterium phosphoreum. RNAcentral's name for it is "tRNA-Ala". It matches the Rfam family "tRNA". Rfam says of the family: Transfer RNA (tRNA) molecules are approximately 80 nucleotides in length. The record is from RNAcentral. Lineage: Bacteria; Pseudomonadati; Pseudomonadota; Gammaproteobacteria; Vibrionales; Vibrionaceae.